UAGAAGGCUAGUACUUAUGAAGGCGAAAU
Molecule: non-coding RNA, 29 nt
Filed under: Mus musculus (house mouse)
Lineage: Eukaryota; Metazoa; Chordata; Mammalia; Rodentia; Muridae
Source: RNAcentral